AGGACUCCGGGCAGUCAAGGAAGAGAAGCAACAAGCCCAGGCAGAACCAGGAGAGGAAGAGGAAAUGAGGCAGGCUUGCCAAGGAAGGAAGGAGCCGCCACCCGCACUGGGAGAUUCAUCUGAGAGAUGAAAGGAACGGAAUGCCACAGGACAACCCUAGGGGAGGAGUGCACGACACUAGGGGCUUCGGAGGCACGAGGAUGCGACAUGAACAAGCCCACUCGCCGUCAGAGUCCCAGCGCCCUCUCUCCAGUGACCAGGCCCCCGUGGAGGGCCCAGUCCACCCUCCAGCUUUCAUAAACUUUGAAAUAACACAAUGUAAAACAGUCUAAAUUAUGUCAGAUGAUUCUAAGUGAUUAAAUGUGACAAAGAGGUA
Molecule: long non-coding RNA, 376 nt
Organism: Pan troglodytes (chimpanzee)
Lineage: Eukaryota; Metazoa; Chordata; Mammalia; Primates; Hominidae
Exons: 2
Source: RefSeq, a predicted model, not a curated record